CAAGCCGGCCAUAGCGGCAGGGCGCGACCCGGUCCCAUUCCGAACCCGGAAGUCAAACCUGUCGUCGCUGCUGUAAUAC
Molecule: ribosomal RNA, 79 nt
Filed under: Thermoproteota archaeon
Lineage: Archaea; Thermoproteati; Thermoproteota
Source: RNAcentral